Long non-coding RNA from Myotis lucifugus (little brown bat), 1193 nucleotides. RefSeq lists it as uncharacterized. NCBI's taxonomy places the organism in Eukaryota, Metazoa, Chordata, Mammalia, Chiroptera, Vespertilionidae. The transcript has 3 exons. The record is from RefSeq and is a predicted model, not a curated record.
GAAAGGAGACUGAAGAAAAAGGGGUCGCUGCCCCCCAAGUACGCCUUGGAGCUGCUCACCAUCUACGCCUGGGAGCAGGGCAGCGGGGCCACAAGUUUUGACACCGCCCAAGGUUUCCGGACGUCCUGGAGCUGGUCACCCGCUAUCAGCAGCUCUGUGUCUUCUGGACAGUCAACUACAACUUCGAGAAUGAGACUGUGAGGAACUUCCUACUGAAGCAGCUCCAGAGACCCAGGCCGGUCAUCCUGGACCCGGCCGAUCCCACCGGCGACGUGGGCGGAGGGAACCGCUGGUGCUGGCAUCGUCUGGCGAACGAAGCUGCCGAAUGGCUGUCCUCCUCCCUCUGCUUCAAGGAUGGAACUGGAGGUCCCGUCCCGUCGUGGAAAGUGCCGACGGUGCAGACACCGGGAAGCUGUGGGGCUGGUGUCGGUCCUGUCAUCAACGAGAUGUUCUCGUACAGAAGUCGUGGAAUCCUAGACUGAAAAUGCUCGGAGAAACUUCUCGAGGUCACCUGGCAAGUGCUUUUGAAGAAUCAGUUCACUGUGUAAAUGCAUAUCCCAGAUCCCUUCUCCCCACCCCCCACCCCCAAACUCCUUCCCUGGUUUCUUGGACGCCUCUUCAAAUCAAGACUGCCAUGUCCUUCCCAGAAAGUCUCGUACGCUCUCGCCUUGCUGGGCUCUCACUCCAUGAGUGGCCUGCUUUAUUAAAAAUGUUUGCUCUCAUCCGUAUUUUUCCCAUUAGCUCCUCCCUUUUCCUUCAAGUUUUAGAAGAGGAUUCUUUCCAUCUUCUGAGCGCGAAGCCCUUGACCUGCCCCUUGGUUCCCAUAAGUCAGUGAUCUUGCUUUCAUAAUCUCCCACCGCACCCCCCUCCCUCUGGGCUCAAACCCUACCUGUGCCUGCUGAUCCAAGGCCUCCUAAGCCAGUAGUAAAUCAGCCUCUUUAAGACCUUCAAACUCUCCUAAGCCUUGGAUUACAAAUGUUGAAUAUAUUUAUCUCCUGUUUCCUCCUCCUGAGCCUACCUUUAGUCCCGCACCCAUAGUAUCUUUUUGCCAAAUCUAAAGGCUUUAUCCUCUGGCUUUUCCUUCAAAGGUACUUGAAGAUCUAAGUGUUUUAACCUCAUAUGUAUCCUCUGGAAGUCUUAUUACUGUCAUGUAUGCCAACUGCCAUGUAAUAAACAAAAAUGUCUGGCCCUGG